RNAcentral lists this ribosomal RNA (632 nucleotides) under uncultured bacterium. RNAcentral's name for it is "bacterial SSU rRNA". The stretch from base 1 to 542 matches the Rfam family "Bacterial small subunit ribosomal RNA", at positions 338 to 873 of the family's 1533-position model. The record is from RNAcentral.
CCUACGGGAGGCAGCAGUGGGGAAUUUUGGACAAUGGGCGCAAGCCUGAUCCAGCAAUGCCGCGUGAGUGAAGAAGGCCUUCGGGUUGUAAAGCUCUUUUGUCAGGGAAGAAACGGUGGGGGCUAAUAUCUCCUGCUAAUGACGGUACCUGAAGAAUAAGCACCGGCUAACUACGUGCCAGCAGCCGCGGUAAUACGUAGGGUGCAAGCGUUAAUCGGAAUUACUGGGCGUAAAGCGUGCGCAGGCGGUUUUGUAAGUUUGUCGUGAAAUCCCCGGGCUCAACCUGGGAAUGGCGAUGAAGACUGCAAGGCUAGAAUCUGGCAGAGGGGGGUAGAAUUCCACGUGUAGCAGUGAAAUGCGUAGAGAUGUGGAGGAACACCGAUGGCGAAGGCAGCCCCCUGGGUCAAGAUUGACGCUCAUGCACGAAAGCGUGGGGAGCAAACAGGAUUAGAUACCCUGGUAGUCCACGCCCUAAACGAUGUCUACUAGUUGUCGGGUUUUAAUUAACUUGGUAACGCAGCUAACGCGUGAAGUAGACCGCCUGGGGGAGGUACGGUCGCGAAGAAGUAAACCGUUAAACGUUAAGUAGUUAGUUACGUGNGAGNGCGACGACGACGACGACGGAGGAGGAG